Molecule: long non-coding RNA, 11144 nt
Organism: Passer domesticus (house sparrow)
Lineage: Eukaryota; Metazoa; Chordata; Aves; Passeriformes; Passeridae
Exons: 3
Source: RefSeq, a predicted model, not a curated record
CCGCCGCAGCGCCGCCCCCCCCCCUUCCCCUCACAGCCCUGAGGGGAGAGGGAGACGGGGGGAGAUGGAGGGACAUGGCAGGACAGGGGAUCCCCGGUAAUCAGAUCACUGCGCCAGUUCCACCUUGAGUCCUGUGUCCAGUUUUGGGGCUCUCAAUUCGAGAAGGACGUUAAGGGGCCGGAGCAUGCCCAGAGAAGGGAACGGAGCUGGGGAAGGGUCUCCAGUCUGACGAGGAGCAGCUGAAGGAGCUCGGGGCGGGGCUCAGCCUGAAGAAAAGGAGCUCAGGGGGUCCUUCCUGCUCUCCACAACUCCCUGUGACAGCAGGAUGCAGCCGGGGAUUGGGCUCUGCUCCCAAGGAACAGGACAGAACAUGGCCUUAAGCUGCAGCAGAUAAACCCCGACCCUUGAGCCAGGAAGAGCUUGAUCACACCAUUUCUCUCUCUCCACUGUGACCACACUGAGCUCUUUAGGUGAGACUUCCUGCUGCCAUGGGCUGUCCCCUGCAGCCAACAGCAAUGACUGUGACAGGAGCAUCCUUGAGAAAUCCACUGCAAUCUGAGCCUCCAGACAGGCUGAACCCACCCUCCGUGCUGGCUGAAGUGCUAGUGACUCCUCUAUUGCACUUUGCCCACUCUGGGGGAAGUAACAUUUUAGUUAAACAAAACCCCUUCAGGGAUCAAGGACUACUGAAGUUUCCAUUCCAGAUGAAUGACUUGAGGCAAGUAUUUGUCCCUUCUGAGAAAGACCACUAAGCCCAACAGGUUUUUCAUCAAGCUCCUCUGCUUGCCAUCACCGACUUAAGAGUCACUUGUGGCACGUCAGAAAUACCAGAGAGGUUUAAUGUACCAGCAGGCAUCACUAAAGAGAGCUGGGAUUGCCAGGACCUUUGAGAGGCACCUGUGGUGACAUCAGGCAUAAAAGGACAGAGCAUCAAGGAUUAUAAUAGAUACAUUACAGAAGGAACAAAACCUCCCUGCUUAAAAAUAAAGACCUCUGCACCACCAUCCACCUGCCGAAGACGUGGAAGCUCUAGGUGUACUUGCAGAGGUCCUGCUAUUCUUGGCGACCCCAGGAGGUGUCUCAGUGCUUGGAACAGUGCAGAGAGAGCAGACACAAGGACAAACCACUCAGGUACCAAAGGAGCACAAAGCACCGAAGCUGUGCCAAUGCAGCACUUCACGCCAGGCCAGAGCUGCACAUACCAGGUAGGGUUGCCCUGAAAUCUCUUUGCACAGGAACAUCAAAUAUCUCUAGUGCUGUGCUCCUCAGACCGCCAGGCUGGGGAGUCUGAUGUUUCCUACAGAGAGCCCGAGCUGUCCCAGAGGAGGGCAGCAGAGUCCCAGCAUUCACACUGAGACAGCCCUGCUUCAAGUUGCUCGCAGAAGCUGGUGGGAAUGCAAGAGUUUGGGUAGGCGUCCCAUGAGGAAGGGUGUGGAGAUGACAGCAGCCUCUGGAACAGGCGGCUCACCAGGCACUGCUCCAUGCAACAGCCUCUUAACCUGUGAGUGCCCAGCACAGGGCAAGCAGAAAGCAGGCUGGCCUUGGCAAGGGAACUUUUCCUUCUCCAAACACAUUGUGGUUGGUUGACCUGGCUGGAUGCCAGGCUACCCAAGCCACUCUGUCACUCCCCUUCUCAUCUGGAUAGUGGUGAAAAAAUAGGACUCAUGCACUUUUGUUAUAAGGCCCUGGAGAGAUUAUUCACCAAAAUACUGUCAUAGGCAAAAAAGGCUCAACUUGGGGAUAUUAAUUGAGUUUAUUACUACCAAAAUUAGAGCAGGAUAAUGAGAAGUACAAUAAAUCUUAAAGACACCUUCCCUUCACCUCUCCCUUCUUACCAGCUCUACCUCCUGUCUCCAGCAGCACAGGGAGAGAGGGAAUGGGGAUCAUGGUCAGUUCUUCACAGGUUGUUCCUGUCACUGUGCAGGGAGAAGAGUCCUUCCCCUGCUCCAGCAUGGGCUCCUCUAUCCACAGGUCUGCAGGCCUCAGGCAGGAGCCUGCUCCAGCAUGGGCUUUCCAUGGGUUCACAUCUUCCUUUCAGGCAACCACCUGCUCUGCUAUGGGUAUCCUCCAUGAGCUGCAGGUGGAUUUCUGCAUCCCCAUGGACCUCCAUGGGCUGCAGGAGGACAGCCUGUUUCACCAUGGUCUGCACCACGGGCUGCAGGGGAACCUCAGCUCCAGCACCUGGAUCACCUCCUGUCCCUCCCUCUCCACUGACCCCGGUGUCUGUAAAGCUGUUCCUCUCACAUAUUCUCACUUUUCUCUUCUCUGGCCAUAAUUACCUCUGCACAAGAACUUUUUAACCUUCUUAUAUAUGUUAUCACAGAGGCAUUACUAUAAUUCCUGACUAUAAUUCCACCUUAGUCAGUGGCAGGUCUGUCCUGGAGCUGGCUGGCUUUGGCUUACCAGACACAGGGGAACAUGCUAACAGCUUCUCACAGAAACCACUCCUUGUAGACCCCCUGCUAUGAAAACCUGGCCAUGCACACCCAAUACACACACAUAAGAAACAAACCAAAUACAUGGUUCACUGGUUUCCAUGUAAAACCAUUUCAGAAAGAAACCAUUUCCAACCAUUUUGGAAAGAAACCAAAUCCUCCCCAAGACAUCCUCUCCCUCUGCUCAGAUCCCCUGGGCUCUGGCUAGUUCCCCUUUGCCACCACCAGGCACUGUGACACAGAGGGCCGGCAGCUAGGCUGGAAUUAGUCAUGCUUCCUCCUGCUCCACCCUGAAAGUCCCACUUCCUGGCAUUGGAAAAGAGCAGCACAAUCCUGAGGUCUGAUACAGCUGUCACCUGGGGAGGGACUGGGUCAUGAGUACAAGUGAGCAUGAAUCACCCUGAAACUAAGGGAUGGCGCAGCAAUUGUCUAGGAGAAUAUAGGCUGCUGGGGCCACAAAGGGCAGGCUGAGUUAAAGGAAACUUGGGACUAAAACACUGCUUAGGGUGGACAGAGCACAGUGUCAGUCCCAAGGAUCCAGUGAGGUGCACUAUGGGACAUCAUGCUGGUUCCCACAGGAGCUCAGCAGCAAUCACUCCAGCACAGAGCCUGCAGCCCACCUUACCUUGAGGUAUUGGUUCUUACUAACUAGAGAACACCAGCAUUCAGCUCCCACUGCCAGCCUGUGUAACACCCUUGGCUGGGCCCAGGACACACCAUGUGCAGCUAAGUCUCAAGGAAAUGUCAACAGAGAAGCAAAAGUGAAUAAUGUAGGUAGAUACCUUUCAAAGCUCUGCUCUCAAAGAGGACAACAUGACCCACACUUUCCAACCCACUAACCUGGUAAAUUGUGUCUGCUCUCACAUGUAUGCCACAGAGCCAGGCUGGGCACCAUGCAAGGAAAGGUGUGGGAUGGACAGGAAGCAGUAGUCUUGCAACAACAGCUGGCCAGAAAAGCAGCACUAUGUAAGGAUGUGGUUUGCACCAACCCUGGUAGCAAACACAUCAUGUGAGUCAACAUUUCAGCUGGUGAGGGUGUAGGGGGCAGUGGGAGGAUUUCUGUGGGUUCUAGGUAGCACCUCCAAUUACACAUUACUACCACAGCAAUUAACUCCAGUUUCCUGUGGUAAUGAUGGAAUUAGACAGUCAGAGGUGUGGGGUUUUUCUUCCCCCACUACACCUAAUAUUUUUAAGCCUAAAUUUCAUUGCUUGAGUCACAGCAGGAGUCUUGUACAGUUAAUUGUUAAUGUAUUGGUGGAUGUUCAAAGGUCAAUGGUAGAAGGCAGCUUUCCUAACAGGGUCUGUGGUUCAUCAGCUGUCUGUUGGCCAGGCAACAGCUUAUCUGGGAUGGGAGGACACUACUCAAAGCAGUAGAAAAAGGUGAUCUAUUACAAGUGAAAGAGGUCCCUACCAGCUCUCUGGCCAGGCCCAAUAAGAGUAUAUGUUCACACAGGUAUGCCAGGACUUGGUUUGCUCUGGAUAGGCAGACAGGAGCCCUCCAGUACUACAAAUUCACCCUACUGAGUUCAGACACUCAUUUAAACAGGUUUCUCCUGGUAUAAUGUGAAUGACCCCAGUCAGCUUCAUCACGCUUCACAUGCUUGCUUGCCACCACCAAUGAGAAGCAGAAUGGGACAGGUCUAUGGUUGAGGUCUCCUGACCCAGCAGGAAACCUGCUUCCCUGUCAGCCUGAACACAGCAGCAGGGCAGGGCACACCUGCAGCAAGGCAAGAGGCAUCCUGCUCCUCUCUACCACAGAAAGCUUUGUGUGUCUGCCAGAGCUGCUGUGUAAUUUGUCCCCAGAGCUCUGCCAGUGAUGCUCCCUCAUUUCAACCCACGGUCCCCUCAAGCUUGAGCAUGACCAUUGUUUUCCCUUCUGGCAAGACACUUCAACAGCAGCAGCUGCUGUGUGCCACAUGCCAGGGGCUGGCAGCACAGGGCCCCUGCAGGAGGCUGUGCUCCAAACAGGUGGCAGCAGAGGAGGAGCUGCUCUGCUACUCGUGCCAUGCCACUGAUGCUAGGACAUCAUAGCAUCUUUCAGGGCCUUGAGGAUAAAGGCAUUUCUCUCCCAUGGGAGAGAGCCCCUGCAGCAAGGCCAGAGGCUGCCCCCAGCUCUUCACCUGGAAUGAAGGGUGGCCCAGAAUGCACAGAGGGCUCCUCAGCCUAUGCAGUGAUUUGGCAAUCAGAGACCUGGGGCCAUGGGCAUGGUGCUCUUCCUGCUCCACUGGAUUCUUUGCUACUUCCAGUUCACCUCUGACCGGGCAGCAGGGAACUCAGGGACAGGUUCUCAGUUCCCAGAUUUGCAUAUCCUUUCCCCUCUCUCAUAACCCAAGUCUUUGGCCUCUCUCUUUUUGUGCUGCCCUCUUGCAGUGAAAUAAAUGCAGCAAAGCCCUUGGGGCACGAAAGCAGAGGAAGAUGGUGUGAUGUGCCAGCACAGAGAGAUGGUGCAGCAGCUCUAUAAGUGACUGUCACCCCUCAUGCCCCAAGCAGCUCAGUUAGUCACAGGCCUUGGCUACUCACCCUCCCUCCCAGCACUGACAGUGCUCUCAAACUUCCACAAUGGAGAGCUUGACCUUCUGAGCCCUGCCCUGGAAGAGGCAUGGUGAGAGCAUCACGCUGCAGAAACUGGUGAGCCCAGCUGCUUGGGGCCCACUGCAGGCAUCCCACAGGACAGAAGGAAGCAGCACAGCUCUCAAAACCACUACAGGACAUACGUAGUGCUGCCCCUCCUAUUGCCACCUAAGAGGCUGUGGGUUAAUUCAGAAAGCCACAGUGUGACAUUUGCUUGUGACCAAGCCAGCUACCGAAGUCUGAGAGGAGGAGCUUUUGGUACGUGGGUUCCCCCUGCCUCCUGAGAUGAUUUGGGUACCCCUGAGUACAUGCAGGUCACUGCUCAAAUUUCCUCUCUUCCUCUGCCUGGCAGAGGAUCCUGGCCUGUCCUCCCAGCUGUCACAAUACAGUGGUAACAGACAAACCUGCUUGAGCUGUGUCCCUGCUGAACCAGCAUGCAGUACCAAACCGCUGCAUCCACACAUUUAUUCCUUGCUGCAGAGGAGUGACCACCCCUCAUAAAGCUUGCCAUGGCUGGUCACUGCAGGAUGCAGAGAGGGUCCCAACACCAACUGGAAGAGAAAGCCUUUUGUGCCCCAUGAGCUGCUCCAAGCAGAGCUCCUGCACUGCACCUGAAAUGAGGCCUCAACUGCUGUACCACAGGAGCCAAGCAAUGAGACCUGGAAACUCAAGGGACAUAACUUCCUCCAGCUACAACAGGGAGCUCAGUGAGCACUCCCAGCAGCUGCAACAGGGCCCAAAUGUGCUUCCAAAGCAAGCAGGGAGGUCGGAGAGCUUUGUCAGGUACCGUGACUGCCACAUGGAGAUGGAGAUUAGCAGCGCUCCACACCUUUGAAGUUCACUGCCUUCUCCACUGAACCCCACCACUGGAAAGACACAGAGGGGACAGGGCUACCUACAGCCCACAGAAUAUGGGGCCCAGCUGCCUCUUCCUUCCACCCUGCAGCCACAUCCCUGUCUGUUACUUCAGCCAGCCUCACCUCACGGAAGCUGAGCUUCCCAUCAAAGUCUUCAUCCACCUCCUUGAUCAUGUUCUUCAGCCCCAGGUGGGUCUGUGGGGCUCCCAGCUUUUCCAUCAUGAGCUUCAGCUCCAUCAGGUCGAUAUAUCCAUCCCGUCCCGAGUCAUACCUGCAGGGUGCAAAGGGGAAAGGGUUAACCAACAUCAUCCCCAUACUCAUCUCCCCAGAAGAGGAACCAUGCACAUGGAUAAAGUCACUGUGUGGUUCAAAGCUUAGGGGAGAGCGGAAGCUGCGUGACAUGGCCAGUGCUGAGAUAUAUUAAGUUCAGAGAAGUAGCUGUCAGCUUUCAGAGCUGUCUCACCAAAGAGAGAAGUACUCAGGGGAGCUCAGACCAAACAACCCGCACAGAAGGAGCACAGAGGAACUCAGCUUAUCUCAGUGGGGUUUCCAUUUCACCCACUUGCCUGUCCAGCACAAAAGCAACUUGCACGCAGCUUACACCAUGCAUCAAUGUGGUGAGACAAAGGCAUGCAGAAUCAGCUGCUGCAAGGUUUCCUGCUAGCUUCAAGAAGAAACAGGGAGCAGAGACCAAGGAGAACCUCUUGGCAGAAAGCAAUCUUUCUCUGUAAGCAAAACUCUCCCCCUCUAGCUGUUAAGAUCUUUUCUCUACAAAAUGCUUUUGUACUACAACAAGCACCACUACAACAGCUGCACUUCAGGGCAGCUGUUUAUUCUGUGUCCCUGGGCAGAGCAGAAAGACAGUCCCAGGGAGCACAGCAAUCCUAGCCAGGGCUGUGUGCCAGGGUUGCACCACAGGGCCAGGCUGGCAGAGGAAACCAGUGCCCACCUCCAGGAGCAAGACUAGAGUGGGACCAUGCUCCCUAAGGAGCACAAAGGACUGCAAGGACUCUCCAGAGGAGAACACCCGUGUAAGGGGAGGAGUGCUUUAGGGAUGGGGAGGCAGUGAGUGAUCUGUUGUGCACAGCCUGGGACUGUGCACCAACUCCUCCCAACAUCUGCUGUGGGUGUGGGUAAAGCAUCCGGCCCAUCGAGCAACCAGCGCUUCACACCCACCAGGGCUAUCACCAGCUUUCAAAGUCCAAAAGCUGCAGGGAUGGGCACUCUGUUAUCAGCCACUCAACAGCCCUCUUUCAUCCUGGUCUUGCCAUCAAGGUUCAGCACAGAGCUAGGGCUUCACAGGAGAAGACAGGGCAGUGUCUCCCAAGCUGGGCUCAGCCUCAGUAUACAGCCUGCCACUGCCCCCCCAGCCACCAUCUCAACCCUGACAGAGUUAAAUCCUUUCAACCAUUCAGAAAGAAACCUUAGGCACAGUGCUGAUGCUUUCCAGUGGGCAGGAGCCAGUCAAAUCCUCCCACCCAUCAUCUUUUAUUGAGUGUUAGUGCUCUUCCAAAGAAAUGAGGCCUGCAGCCAUCCCAGACAAAGAUCUGCACAUUGGUGGUUACCCUGGAAGAAAGCCCUUUCCAGCUGAAAAACCUCACAGCCACAGAGGAAGCUGUGGCAAAGGAAGGCACGAACAAAGCCACCAGCCCCAAACUGCGUACAGGCACGAGCAGCACAAGGCAGAGCUGCAGCCAAGAUCUCUGCCCCUGCUUUCAGGAGCACAGGCACAGCAUGCUUUUCCCCCAAACUAGGGUGGCCUCCAUGACUUUCCAGAGUCCCACCAGCCCCACAACUAUUUCUGAUACUCCUUGUGGCUCUUAGUGGUUCAAGGGUCCCAGGACUAAGAGACUCCCAAUGACAGGGACAUAAUUGACAGACUAGGCUGGCAUAGACCCCCUGUUACCAAUCUGCCUCUAAUCUAUACCCAGCAAACCCAUGAGCCCAGCAGGCCUUCUGAAAAACCAGGAAAGAAAUCUCCAUCAGAGCAGAAACCAGGUCACAGACCUGGGAUGUCACAGGGAAGAAGUACAGCAGGUUCUACACAGCAAGGAAGGUGUCAGUUAAUUAAAGCACAUUCACAGCAUUACCCAACCCAGCACUGAGAUGCACUUCCAAGACAUCACAGAAGCACUGCAAGUGCAAUAUUUAAUUGUCAAUUGGCUUUGCUUUCAAGUUUGGGAGAAAGGGUGCAGAGCUGUCACUGUUGGAAAUGCAGUGCCUUUGAUUAGACACAGCAGCGAAAUGUGCAAUGGCAGAAAGGCACGUGGGGCUGCAGUUUUUUGGGGAGCCCAGCAAGCUCAUGCUGCUCUUUGGCUGGAUGCAGAAGCAAAGUAAUACCAAGGUCCCCUCCAAGGGCUGUUCAUCUGGGAUUGGAACACUGCCCAGCCCCACACGGAAGCUCUGUGUAAGAGAUGAAGGCAGAAGUAGGGCACAAGCCCAGCCCGUGCCUGCUGUGGUCAUCUCACCCUCCUGUUAUGGACACUACCUGCAGGCAAGCACUGGCCCAGGGGCCCGUAGGCUGCCCUGAAAGGGUUAAGCGUGGGGCACAGCUUCAGGGCUCAUCCCUGCAGAGAGGCAGGACAAAGCCAGGAUUGUGAGAAAUGGGGUCUUGCCAACAGCGGGCCUGGCUGAGCAGCACUCUGUACCAGCCACACAAUGGGUGUUGAGCAUGAGUACAGCUGGUGCUGAGAAGCACCCAGAAAUCAGGUUACCAGUCCCCUGCACUCAGGCACAGCCAGACAGAGGGGCACUGAAACCCAACGGCAGCACCCUGCAAACUGCUACAUUCCCUCCCUGCCCCCUCGCCUCCUAAAACAGCCAAACUAUUUUAGGACCUGGGUACAGCCACUCAGCUGCUGCACAGCCAGACUAUUUAGGGAGAGGCAUAUUUACACGGCACGAGAAACAGCACCAUUCAUUUCCCACCACCCACCCCCAACAGACCACAGGCAUUCAGCACUGUGGGGCACAAUGCAGACUGCACCUUGCUGGUCAGCUGAUGCUCCCAGCACACCUCAGUCCUACCAGACCCCACAGUCUGCCUUUGGAGAGAUCAUACAACUCCCCUGCCUGCCUUUUGGGAGCCCCUUUUCAGGGCGCUGGGCUCAGACAGCCCCGGAUGCCUCUCACACACAGCUGCCUGCAUCCUGGUGAUGCACAGCCAUUACCUUCACAGGCAGAGCUGGAAGAGGGCACCAGGGCAAGUUAAACACAGCCCAGCAUCCAGGGGAGCCAUCCCAGCCUCAACUCCAGGAGUGGCACGGCAAGAGCACGCAGCACUCAGGUGCCUGGUGAGCCCUGCCAUCACUCACUGUCCUGCUGUGACACCAGAGCUUUGCUUCCUUCAGACUCAAAGCUCCCUGGGCCACGAGCCAAGCCUCACCUAAGUGACGUGCAGGCAUUACAGACAGAGGGGAAUUGUGUCAACAAGCACAGACAUCUCAUGUCACAGGAAGGCCACUUCAGCAGCAGGUCGGUGCCAUGGCCACAGCAGAUCCCACCUGUAACAGCUGGGAUGCCGCAGGCAGAUAUGGGCACCGUGGCUGCUGUGAUGAAACUUUGCCACACUGCUGCCACAGCAGUGUUCCUGGCAGCAAAUGAGACACAGCAGUGGCUGCCAAAAUCUGCUGCAACAAGGAUGCACCCAGAUUCCCAUGCUGGCUGGCUUCCACCCAGACUGCAGAGCGUGCCUGGCUGCUGAAGCACUGGGAGAGGAAAGCAGGAGACAGAAUCGGAGGAAGGAGGGAAUACUUGCUGAACAGACUUGCUUAAGAGCACAAAGUCUGUUACACACAAUUACUGCCCAAGUACAAACAUUGCACUGGUGUUCCACAGAUGCUGGGGGUUUACAUCGCAGAAGAAAAAAGGAUCAGGGAUGGAGGAAAAAGGAGAUGCCAAGGACUGCAUCACCUGUAGUGACUCUGCAGUCACCAAAAAAGAACAAUUAAAUGACACAGAUGCUGAAGGAUCAAAGAGCAGUUUCUAAACAUUCACAUUUCUUGAGAAAAGCUGGAAUGAGAACCUGCCCUCCCUGUACAUGCUUGCUGCACCUUACCUUGCUUCACGUAUUAUGGGCACCUGUACUUUGAUCUGCAGUUCCUGUAUGCUGCAAUAGCCUAAUUGAGGCUUUGAAGCAAAGCAGUUGGAAUAAUGGUGCUAAAGUAAUAAUCUCCUCUUAAAUAUUUAAAAUCCUAAGUAGCACUUUAUUCCCUCUGAGCAUUGUGUUUCACCUUACAUGGAGAAGGUGGUGCUAAUCUCUGCUCCCUGACAUCCAAUGAUAGGGUAAAUGGGAAUGGUUCAUAACUGCCCCAGAGGAGGAUCAGAUUAGACCUGAGGAAGCCUUUCUUUCAGCCUGAGAGGGUUGUCAGACCUGGAACAGCCUUCCUAGAAAGGUGGUCAGUGCCCUAAGCUUGUCAGUGUUUAAGAGACAUUUAGACAAUGCCCUUAAUAAUAGGGCUUAACUUUUGGUCAAGCCUGAAGCAAUCAGGCAAUUGAACUAGAUGUGAUCAUUGGUGCUCCAUUCCAAAUGGAAUAGUCUACUCCAUUGCCAAGAGCUUUGGAAACAACUCCUCCAUACCAGGAUGGGGACAGGAGCAGGCUCCUCAGCCACAUGCAGCUUCAUCCUCCCCAGCCCAGGCAGAGGGAGCUCUCCUGCUCUUGGAGGGACAUGAGGACAAGAUGACAGUCUGCUCCACUAAGACGUUCUCCAAGAUGUUGGGCAAGACCUACAGGCCCAAACUGAGCCCCCAUGGGAAUAACCUCCACUGGAAGUCCACGGACAGCCAGUCACAUAAGGCACACGGCAGCUCUGGAGAGGGCAGGUCUGCUGCAGCAUGUCACACAAGGCUGGGGCACCUGGCAAAGUGGCUCCUAAGUAGCUCCAGGAGAGCAAGGGGACAUCACAGCCUCUCCCACCAGCCAGAUGCAAGGCACUUAUGCAAUGUGUGGGCAACACAUGAAAUUCCCUAGAUAUAAAAAGCAAUACAAGACUGGAAUUUCUCCACUCCCUCGCGCCCCACAGAUGAAGCGGCUGUCUGUUUUCCUCCCCCUUACAUUUCUCAUAAAGGUCAUGAGAGCCUCACUGCCUGGCUUUCACAUUCCCCUCUGCCAUUUUCCUGGACAAAGAUGGCACCAAGGGGAGCUGUGAGACUCCAGAGACCCUGAGAGUUCACUUAGCUCAGGAAAGAGAGGUUAUCAUGGUUAUCACAGUCCUCACAUAUUGUCAGAAUAGGCAGCUAAUUAGGUCACAUUAUAAUUAGCCUGAGCUGUAGACUUCCUG